AGUGAACGCUGGCGGUAGGCCUAGCACAUGCAGGUCGAACGGCAGCACAGUAAGAGCUUGCUCUUACGGGUGGCGAGUGGCGGACGGGUGAGGAAUACAUCGGAAUCUACUUUUUCGUGGGGGAUAACGUAGGGAAACUUACGCUAAUACCGCAUACGACCUACGGGUGAAAGCAGGGGAUCUUCGGACCUUGCGCGAUUGAAUGAGCCGAUGUCGGAUUAGCUAGUUGGCGGGGUAAAGGCCCACCAAGGCGACGAUCCGUAGCUGGUCUGAGAGAAUGAUCAGCCACACUGGAACUGAGCCACGGUCCAGACUCCUACGGGAGGCAGCAGUGGGGAAUAUUGGACAAUGGGCGCAAGCCUGAUCCAGCCAUACCGCGUGGGUGAAGAAGGCCUUCGGGUUGUAAAGCCCUUUUGUUGGGAAAGAAAAGCAGCAGGUUAAUACCCCGCUGUUCUGACGGUACCCAAAGAAUAAGCACCGGCUAACUUCGUG
Molecule: ribosomal RNA, 492 nt
Filed under: uncultured bacterium
Lineage: Bacteria
Description: partial 16S ribosomal RNA
Rfam family: Bacterial small subunit ribosomal RNA
Source: RNAcentral